GUUGAGGUUUAUGCUGAUGGGGCUUUUUCUGUAGACCCACAUUGUUGGAAACACUUCAUGGAGUAACUAUGGGGUUUGCUUGACUUGCAGAACUAUUUGUUGGAUCGGUAAGAAAGAAUCACAAGACAGAA
Small nucleolar RNA from Echinops telfairi (small Madagascar hedgehog), 131 nucleotides. Lineage: Eukaryota; Metazoa; Chordata; Mammalia; Afrosoricida; Tenrecidae. The record is from RefSeq and is a predicted model, not a curated record.